This 748-nucleotide long non-coding RNA is filed under the name Panax ginseng (ginseng). RNAcentral describes it as "long non-coding RNA (PGIN_LNC006040)". The record is from RNAcentral. Lineage: Eukaryota; Viridiplantae; Streptophyta; Magnoliopsida; Apiales; Araliaceae.
AAGAUAGAAAGUAAUUGGUAAAUGAUAAGAAUUACCAUCUAGUGAUUAAAUACUACAUUUAAUUGCUAUGUACAAAAAUGCCCUUGAAAUUUUAUGCGACAUUACCAAAAUGCCCUUUUAGUUUAUUAGUGUAUUAUUAGUUGAAUUGUUGGUAGAUUAUUGCUAGCCAACACUCCUACCCUACCCAUCUAGCAUCCAAUGCUCAAUCAUUCAAGUUGAAUCAUCCAAUUGUAGCAUCCAAUGUAUCUAAUAUAUUUUUAUAUAGAUUAAAGAGAGGGGAAAUGACCAUUUUACCCUUUUUGUCCAUCUUAGUGCAUUAUUUGUGCAUUAUUGUGCUACCAAUCCCACCAAAUCCGGCCAACCACUCCAUAAUUAUCAUGUGAGCUCAAUUAUACCAACCAAAUCAGCAUCCAAAGCAUCUAGCAUGGCCUAUAAAUAGAGAUCAAGGAGAUUGAAUGAAAACACACACUAAUAUUUUCUAAACUCUCUAGCCACACUCUCUCAACCUCUAGCCAACGAAAUUAUCUUACCCAUAAGCUCAUAAUCAAAGCCCAACCAUCACAAACCACAAAUCAGAAGCAUCAAGAAGCCAGAAAUCAAAAAUCAAGCUUGAAAAGGUAGGAAAUCCUAAAUUCUAGAAAUCCUUCGAUUCGAUGUUAAUUGAUGCAAUUGAUUGUUUAAAGUUGUGUAAUAGAGAGUCUAUUAAUGUUCUGGAUUGUUAAAUUCAUGACCCAUAACAUCAAAGUGC